GAUGAACGCUGGCGGCGUGCCUAAUACAUGCAAGUCGAGCGAACGGACGAGAAGCUUGCUUCUCUGAUGUUAGCGGCGGACGGGUGAGUAACACGUGGAUAACCUACCUAUAAGACUGGGAUAACUUCGGGAAACCGGAGCUAAUACCGGAUAAUAUUUUGAACCGCAUGGUUCAAAAGUGAAAGACGGUCUUGCUGUCACUUAUAGAUGGAUCCGCGCUGCAUUAGCUAGUUGGUAAGGUAACGGCUUACCAAGGCAACGAUGCAUAGCCGACCUGAGAGUGUGAUCGGCCACACUGGAACUGAGACACGGUCCAGACUCCUACGGGAGGCAGCAGUAGGGAAUCUUCCGCAAUGGGCGAAAGCCUGACGGAGCAACGCCGCGUGAGUGAUGAAGGUCUUCGGAUCGUAAACCUCUGUUAUUAGGGAAGAACAUAUGUGUAAGUAACUGUGCACAUCUUGACGGUACCUAAUCAGAAAGCCACGGCUAACUACGUG
RNAcentral lists this ribosomal RNA (497 nucleotides) under uncultured bacterium. RNAcentral describes it as "partial 16S ribosomal RNA". It matches the Rfam family "Bacterial small subunit ribosomal RNA", at positions 28 to 507 of the family's 1533-position model. The record is from RNAcentral.